UUUGUUUUUAGCAGCCUGGCUCUCCUGUUCUCCGUGGAAGGGGGAAUUUAUUUCAUUACAGGGAGUUCUGGAGGGUGUGGGAGGCCAAGCUGGAGUGGGCUUUAAGGCUCUUUCCAGCUGUUCAAAGGCAGGAACUUGGGGCCUCUUUGGAAUCUGUAUCUGAGCUAAACAAGAUGGCGCACACAGAAGAUCGACGCAAGGCUCCAUCCCAUAAACCGCGAGAUCAUGACCUAAGCCGAAAUCAAGAGUUGGAAGCUUAACCGACUGAGCCACCCAGGUGCCCCGGGAAGGGCAUUUUAAAGCCUUCAGUAGAGCGAGAAAGUGGGACCGGAUGAACUCUGAGGACCACGCGAGACCCAGGAUGACCACAAAGGUCUGUAAUGAGGCGGCCCCGAAAGCAAGGUCUCCCGGCUCCCCUUGUUGUACCGCAGGCAAAAGCGGAAAUUGGAAGGCAAGCCCUGUGAUGGCGAGGACUUGAAAAUUGCUUCUAAUUUCCAAGUGUGUGGCAGAGAGAGAGACAGCUGUGCAACGCCUCAUUGAGUGGAUGUAUGAUAACGUCAUAAUUUACUUAGCCAGGCCCUAUUGAUGAACAUUUGGCCGUUUCCCAUCUUUUUCUGCUGUAACAAAUUAUGCUGCGGUGAAUAACCAUGUCAGUACAAUGUUUGCAAGUCCGUGUGUAGGGUAAGUUCCCAGAAGUGAGAUUACUGGUGAGGGGGUACAUGCAUUUGUAACUCUGAUCGAUGUUGCCACAUUGCCCUUCAAGGGGGCUUUUCCAUAAGCGAUGUGUGAGGGACCUUAUUUCUCCACGGGCUCCCAAUAGAGCGGAGAGUUAAACUCUUGGCUUUUGGCCAACUUGCUAGAUAAACGGUAUUAUCUCAAAGAAGUUUUCCCUCACAUUUUUCUUACUAUGAAUCAGGUUGAGCAUCUUUUCAUAUAUUGAAGGGCCAUUUCUGUUUCCUUUUCUAUGCACUGUCUGCUCAUUCCCAUUUGUGUUCUUGUCUUUCCUUGGCAGUAUGUAAGAUUUUGCACAUUUUAGAGAGAUUAGCCCUCUCUCUGUGAUAUGGGUUAUAAAUAUUUUCUCCCAGAUUUUUUUUGCUUAUUGCUUUUUCCAUGCAGAAGUUUUAAUUUGUGUUAGUCAAACUGAUCUGUCUUUUCUUUUAUGACUUCUGGAAUUUUGAGUCUUGGUUAGAGAUGUCUACCCCUGGCUUAGACAUUUCUUUUUUCUUUGAGUUUAGGAUUUCAUAUUUUUUCACUUUAAAAUCUUUGAUCAGUUUGGAGUUUGUCAGUUGUAUAUGGUAUGGAGCAUGGGACCGACUUUAUUUUUUUCCAGAUGGCCACCCAAUUGGCCCAUACCGUUUAUUGAUUCAUCCCUAUUUCCCUCCCUGAUCUGAGAUAUCACAUUUAUCAAAUACUCAAUUCCACAUGUAGCUGGGUCUCUUUCUCACAUUUUUCUUCUGUUUGAUUGGGAGAAUUGUCUGGGCAUGUGCUGUGACACACUGAUUUAGUUACUGGGGAUAUAGAGCAUAUUCUUCUUCAUUAGAUAUUUUUCAGAGUUUCCAUGGAUAUUUUAGUUUGUUUAUGUCUCUUUUUGAACUUUAGAAUCUGAUUUUCUACUUCUGUAUCUUCCACCCCAAAUUCUGUUGGUAUUUUAUAAACCGAUGGUUAGGAGUAUGGGUUCUGGGAUGAGAUCACUUGAGUUCAAAUCCCAGUUACCAUUUACUCCAUGAG
This is a long non-coding RNA of Neofelis nebulosa (Clouded leopard), 1728 nucleotides long. RefSeq lists it as uncharacterized. The record is from RefSeq and is a predicted model, not a curated record. The transcript is spliced from 5 exons. Lineage: Eukaryota; Metazoa; Chordata; Mammalia; Carnivora; Felidae.